This 397-nucleotide ribosomal RNA is filed under the name uncultured bacterium. RNAcentral describes it as "partial 16S ribosomal RNA". It matches the Rfam family "Bacterial small subunit ribosomal RNA", at positions 359 to 773 of the family's 1533-position model. The record is from RNAcentral.
GAAUUUUCCGCAAUGGGCGAAAGCCUGACGGAGCAACGCCGCGUGAGGGAUGAAGGUCUUCGGAUCGUAAACCUCUGUCUUCAGGGACGAUAAUGACGGUACCUGAGGAGGAAGCCACGGCUAACUACGUGCCAGCAGCCGCGGUAAUACGUAGGUGGCGAGCGUUGUCCGGGAUUACUGGGCGUAAAGGGCGUGUAGGCGGCCUUUUAGGUCAGAUGUGAAAUCUCAGGGCUUAACCCUGAAACUGCAUUUGAAACUGGAGGGCUUGAGGAUCGGAGAGGGCAGUGGAAUUCCCAGUGUAGCGGUGAAAUGCGUAGAUAUUGGGAGGAACACCAGUGGCGAAGGCGACUGCCUGGACGACACCUGACGCUGAGGCGCGAAAGCUAGGGGAGCAAAC